Molecule: ribosomal RNA, 446 nt
Filed under: uncultured bacterium
Lineage: Bacteria
Description: bacterial SSU rRNA
Rfam family: Bacterial small subunit ribosomal RNA
Source: RNAcentral
UUCCAGACUCCUACGGGAGGCAGCAGUGGGGAAUAUUGCACAAUGGGGGAAACCCUGAUGCAGCGACGCCGCGUGAGCGAUGAAGUAUUUCGGUAUGUAAAGCUCUAUCAGCAGGGAAGAAGAUGACGGUACCUGACUAAGAAGCCCCGGCUAACUACGUGCCAGCAGCCGCGGUAAUACGUAGGGGGCAAGCGUUAUCCGGAUUUACUGGGUGUAAAGGGAGCGUAGACGGCGAUGCAAGCCAGAUGUGAAAGCCCGGGGCUCAACCCCGGGACUGCAUUUGGAACUGUGUGGCUGGAGUGUCGGAGAGGCAGGCGGAAUUCCUAGUGUAGCGGUGAAAUGCGUAGAUAUUAGGAGGAACACCAGUGGCGAAGGCGGCCUGCUGGACGAUGACUGACGUUGAGGCUCGAAAGUGUGGGGAGCAAACAGGAUUAGAUACCCCAGUA